Molecule: ribosomal RNA, 253 nt
Filed under: uncultured bacterium
Lineage: Bacteria
Description: partial 16S ribosomal RNA
Rfam family: Bacterial small subunit ribosomal RNA
Source: RNAcentral
UACAGAGGUCCCAAGCGUUGUUCGGAUUCAUUGGGCGUAAAGGGUGCGUAGGCGGCGGGGUAAGUUGGAUGUGAAAUCCUGGGGCUUAACCUCAGAAUUGCAUUCAAUACUGCCUUGCUAGAGAGCUGUAGAGGAGACUGGAAUUUACGGUGUAGCAGUGAAAUGCGUAGAUAUCGUAAGGAACGCCAGUGGCGAAAGCGAGUCUCUGGGCAGCAUCUGACGCUGAGGCACGAAGGCCAGGGGAGCAAACGGG